GUGAUAUUUGGUGCUUUCUAUGUGAGUCAGAGCUCAGGGAAUAAUUUGAAUAUUGCAGACAGCAAUUUGCUACAUAAAUUCACCCCAAUGGCUAUUAGCUCAUUUUAGAACAGUCAAGACUGCUAGAUUAGAGGGAGAUCUUUUGCAUUAAAUAUCAUGUUAAUCACAUCUACUUAACCUUUUAUUCACCCUUCCCCAAACCCUCCUUAAAAAAGUUCUGCAAGGCCUGACCCAUAUCCAAUAAGAUGCAAGGAAAGAGUCUUAAAUGUGUAUUUUUAACAUUAUAUCCUAAAUAAUAGGUUAGUUCUGUAGACUCUAUCUUGGUAUGUAUUUUCAGGAGUUUUAUGUUAUAGACAAAGAAGAAUUUCUUUUUAACUUUAUUUUUAUACUAAAUAAUUUCAAUAAGAGUCAAAUAUAAUAUUAUUUAUAUACCACACAUUGUUUCAGCAUUCCCAUUUUCCAGACUGGAGGAGCAAUUGCAAAACUAGACAGGAAAUCAAAACUAACACCAAGAAGGUCUGAAUUGCACUUCACCGUAAUAAAGAUUAACUCAAGUCAGCGUGGAGACCGGUGUUCUGAAUGACGCUGGCUGAUGAAUGACUGAUGUGCCACCCUGCCUCUGCUGAGGGCCCCAGCUGACCCUUGGUCACCACUGUCAUUAUUCUACACCCUGCUGCCAUUUCUCCAUUGACUUCUGGUUUUGGACGCACUGGCAGGAAAUCUGCAAGCCACUGAUAUCAGCCACUGCAAGCCACCAGGACUUGCAACCGCCACCCCUACAGGACUCCAACAUCCACGGCAGGAGCAAGAAUUCUGCCUGCCAGAGGCACUCUCGAGAGGUGACUGGCAGUGGGAAGAUAUUUGCUUUACCUGGUUUUCAGGCCGGUGUGUAUGUAUCAAUCUCUUCAGCAUCACGGUGCAAGCAUGCAUUCCUGCCAGUUCCCACCAAUGUAUACUUCUACUGUCACUUCACUGCCAAGGAAGAUGUGGCCCAGGCAGAGUGAGCUCUUUGCUCUGCUCUCUAGGCAAGUGCUUCUGGGGCUCCACAAGGGCAGCAGUGGCAGAGGGGCCUGGAGUGCACCCUGACUCUCCACAGUGACUACAGCAAAACACCUAGCUCUAUGGCUUUUUCAUUUCCUUAGUAAUGCCUAUUAAUUUUAUAAAAUAUUGGGUUUUCAAUGUGUG
Molecule: long non-coding RNA, 1185 nt
Filed under: Chinchilla lanigera (long-tailed chinchilla)
Lineage: Eukaryota; Metazoa; Chordata; Mammalia; Rodentia; Chinchillidae
Description: lncRNA (ENSCLAG00000027713.1)
Source: RNAcentral